This is a long non-coding RNA of Populus euphratica (Euphrates poplar), 489 nucleotides long. RefSeq lists it as uncharacterized. The record is from RefSeq and is a predicted model, not a curated record. Lineage: Eukaryota; Viridiplantae; Streptophyta; Magnoliopsida; Malpighiales; Salicaceae. The transcript has 2 exons.
UUGGAGCUGUGCACACAAAUUUCCCAACUCUUUGUGGCCAUCGAUUUUAAGAUAUUGCAAAGAAGGCAAUUGGGCAGCAAAAUUCUUUGGACCAAAAAAGCUGUCAUUUGAUAUGGAAGAAAGAGACAAUUUUCUUAGUCGAGGUAACUUGAUGAUGACAUCUGUGGCGAGUGCAUCUCCUUCUCUACUGUAAAAUAUUUGCUUUAAAUUAUGAGCUUCAAAAAUCCACAUGUCUUCCAGGUUUAGAAGGCUUGGACACACAGAGACAGGGAGGGCAUAUUCCAGUUUACCACAGCGAGAUAUAAGGAGUGUUUUUAAUUUUGGGAAGAUAGGAGACUCUGGAAUUAUUUCCCUUUCACCAUCCUCUUCUAUGAUAAUAUGCUUCAAUUCACCGCAUUCACUUAUGUAAAGGCUUUCUAGCUUUGGCAGACUUUGAGCGAGGGACGGUGUGAAGAUAAAUGUCAGUUUGUCGAGAGAAUCCAAAUUCAG